This 274-nucleotide ribosomal RNA is filed under the name uncultured bacterium. RNAcentral describes it as "partial 16S ribosomal RNA". It matches the Rfam family "Bacterial small subunit ribosomal RNA", at positions 523 to 796 of the family's 1533-position model. The record is from RNAcentral.
AUACGGAGGGUGCAAGCGUUAUCCGGAUUCAUUGGGUUUAAAGGGUACGUAGGCGGAUAGAUAAGUUAGUGGUGAAAUCCCGAAGCUCAACUUCGGAACUGCCAUUAAAACUGUCUAUCUUGAAUUUGGUUGAAGUGGGCGGAAUAUGACAUGUAGCGGUGAAAUGCAUAGAUAUGUCAUGGAACACCGAUAGUGAAGACAGCUCACUAAGCCAAUAUUGACGCUGAGGUACGAAAGCAUGGGUAGCGAACAGAAUUAGAAACCCCAGUAGUCC